This 452-nucleotide ribosomal RNA is filed under the name Bifidobacterium longum. RNAcentral's name for it is "partial 23S ribosomal RNA". It matches the Rfam family "Bacterial large subunit ribosomal RNA", at positions 2473 to 2925 of the family's 2925-position model. The record is from RNAcentral. Lineage: Bacteria; Bacillati; Actinomycetota; Actinomycetes; Bifidobacteriales; Bifidobacteriaceae.
GAUAACAGGCUUAUCUCCCCCAAGAGUCCACAUCGACGGGGAGGUUUGGCACCUCGAUGUCGGCUCAUCGCAUCCUGGGGCUGUAGUCGGUCCCAAGGGCUGGGCUGUUCGCCCAUUAAAGCGGUACGCGAGCUGGGUUCAGAACGUCGUGAGACAGUUCGGUCCCUAUCCGUCGCGGGCGUAGGAAAUUUGAGAGGACCUGUCCUUAGUACGAGAGGACCGGGAUGGACAUACCGCUGGUGUACCAGUUGUUCCGCCAGGAGCAUCGCUGGGUAGCUAUGUAUGGAUGAGAUAAACGCUGAAAGCAUCUAAGUGUGAAACUCGCCUCAAGAUGAGAUUUCCCAUUCCUUUGGAAGUAAGACCCCACAGAGAUGAUGUGGUAGAUAGGAUGGAAGUGGAAGUGCGGUGACGCAUGGAGCGGACCAUUACUAAUCGGUCGAGGACUUAACCAA